GAUGAACGCUGGCGGCGUGCCUAAUACAUGCAAGUCGAACGAACAGACGAGGAUCUUCCUCCUCUUACCGUAUCGUCGGACGGGUAAGUAACACGUAGAUAACCUAUCUAUAGGACUCGGAUAACUUCUGGAACCCGGAGCUAAUACCUGAUACUAUAUUGAACCGCAUGGUUCUAUCUUGAAAGACGGUUUUGCUUUCACUUAUAGGUGGAUCGGCGCCGCAUUAGCUAGUUGUUAAGGUAACGGCAUACGAAGGCAACGAUGCGUAGCCGUCCUGAGAGGGUGAUGGGCGACAGCGACAUUGAGACACGGUCCCGACCCAUACGGGUGCGAGCGGCAGGGGAUGUGAAGAAAUGGGAGAAAGCGGGAGGGAGAAACGCCGAGUGAGUGAGGAAGGUGUUGGGAUUGUAAAACUAUGUUAUUAGGGAAGAAGAAAAGUCUAAGUAACUAUGAACGUCUUGACGGUACCUAAUCAGAAAGCAACGGCUAACUACGUG
RNAcentral lists this ribosomal RNA (497 nucleotides) under uncultured bacterium. Its description in RNAcentral is "partial 16S ribosomal RNA". It matches the Rfam family "Bacterial small subunit ribosomal RNA", at positions 28 to 507 of the family's 1533-position model. The record is from RNAcentral.